GCUGGGCACAAUGGUAUACACUUGUGAUCCCAACUAGUGGGGAGGCUAAGGCAGGAGGAUCACCUGAACCGAGGAGUUCUGGGCUAUAGUGCGCUAUGCUGAUGGGGUGUCUACACUAAGUUCAGCAUCAGUAUGGUGGCCUCCUAGGAGCGGGGGACCACCAGCUUGUCUAAGGAGAGAUGAACCAGCCAAGGUGAAAAUGGCAUAAGACAAAACUCCUGUGUUGGUCAGUGGUGGGAUCAUGCCUGUGAACAGCUACUGCAUUCCAGUCUGGGCAAGAUAGUGAGACCCAGUCUCU
Unclassified non-coding RNA from Prolemur simus (greater bamboo lemur), 298 nucleotides. It matches the Rfam family "Metazoan signal recognition particle RNA". Rfam says of the family: The signal recognition particle (SRP) is a universally conserved ribonucleoprotein. It is involved in the co-translational targeting of proteins to membranes. The record is from Ensembl. Lineage: Eukaryota; Metazoa; Chordata; Mammalia; Primates; Lemuridae.